AGAGUUUGAUCCUGGCUCAGGACGAACGUUGGCGGUGCGCUUAAUGCAUGCAAGUCGAGGGAGAACCUUUCGAUCCGUAAGGACCGAAUGGGGAAACCGGCGAACGGGUGCGUAACACGUGAGGAACCUGCCCCGAAGACCGGGAUAGCCCGAGGAAACUCGGAUUAAUACCGGAUACCCUCCUCGGACCACAUGGUCUGUUGAGGAAAUGGUCCGCCGCUUCGGGAUGGCCUCGCGGCCUAUCAGCUUGUUGGUGAGGUAAUGGCUCACCAAGGCAAAGACGGGUAGCUGGUCUGAGAGGACGAUCAGCCACACUGGGACUGAGACACGGCCCAGACUCCUACGGGAGGCAGCAGCAGGGAAUAUUGCACAAUGGGCGAAAGCCUGAUGCAGCGACACCGCGUGCGGGAUGAAGGCCCUCGGGUUGUAAACCGCUUUCAGGAGGGACGAAAAUGACGGUACCUCCAGAAGAAGGCCCGGCCAACUACGUGCCAGCAGCCGCGGUAAUACGUAGGGGCCAAACGUUGUCCGGAUUUAUUGGGCGUAAAGGGCUCGUAGGCGGUUCAACAAGUCGAUCGUGAAAGCCCGGGGCUCAACCCCGGGACGCCGGUCGAAACUGUUGUGACUAGGGUCCGGUAGAGGUGAGUGGAAUUCUCGGUGUAGCGGUGGAAUGCGCAGAUAUCGAGAGGACACCAGUUG
Molecule: ribosomal RNA, 699 nt
Filed under: uncultured bacterium
Lineage: Bacteria
Description: bacterial SSU rRNA
Rfam family: Bacterial small subunit ribosomal RNA
Source: RNAcentral